UUUUAUUCAAGGUUCUACAUAAAUUAAUAAUUACGGCUCAAUGUCGUUACCGAUCGAACGAAUGACGUUGCUCAAAUUACGCAGGACGGCCUUUCCGUUCUCGUGAAGAAAAACCUUCCUUCUCCGGUCAAAAAUAUUUAUCCGUGGAUUUUAUUAAGGUGUUCGAAACAGAAAGACGCUUCGAUCGUUUACGACAAUACGGGAACGUCAUUGGGAAUUUCGAGGUAACCAGAAUUUAAAUACGAAUUGAUAGGACUACAAACUGAGAUAAUAACAGAGAAAUGUUACUUUAGAAAUAUAACCUGCAAAUACCUGACCAAGUGAAUAAAAGAAAUAAUAAAAAAAAUUAAAAAAGG
Long non-coding RNA from Megachile rotundata (alfalfa leafcutting bee), 356 nucleotides. Lineage: Eukaryota; Metazoa; Arthropoda; Insecta; Hymenoptera; Megachilidae. The record is from RefSeq and is a predicted model, not a curated record.